CUUGCUUCUCUUGAGAGCGGCGGACGGGUGAGUAAUGCCUAGGAAUCUGCCUGGUAGUGGGGGAUAACGUCCGGAAACGGACGCUAAUACCGCAUACGUCCUACGGGAGAAAGCAGGGGACCUUCGGGCCUUGCGCUAUCAGAUGAGCCUAGGUCGGAUUAGCUAGUUGGUGGGGUAAUGGCUCACCAAGGCGACGAUCCGUAACUGGUCUGAGAGGAUGAUCAGUCACACUGGAACUGAGACACGGUCCAGACUCCUACGGGAGGCAGCAGUGGGGAAUAUUGGACAAUGGGCGAAAGCCUGAUCCAGCCAUGCCGCGUGUGUGAAGAAGGUCUUCGGAUUGUAAAGCACUUUAAGUUGGGAGGAAGGGCAGUAAAUUAAUACUUUGCUGUUUUAACGUUACCGACAGAAUAAGCACCGGCUAACUCUGUGCCAGCAGCCGCGGUAAUACAGAGGGUGCAAGCGUUAAUCGGAAUUACUGGGCGUAAAGCGCGCGUAGGUGGUUCGUUAAGUUGGAUGUGAAAUCCCCGGGCUCAACCUGGGAACUGCAUUCAAAACUGACGAGCUAGAGUAUGGUAGAGGGUGGUGGAAUUUCCUGUGUAGCGGUGAAAUGCGUAGAUAUAGGA
RNAcentral lists this ribosomal RNA (626 nucleotides) under uncultured bacterium. RNAcentral's name for it is "bacterial SSU rRNA". It matches the Rfam family "Bacterial small subunit ribosomal RNA", at positions 79 to 701 of the family's 1533-position model. The record is from RNAcentral.